UGGGAUUGGUCCUGUAUCAGCUCUUGCUAUUAUCGCUGCUGAUGACAAUGCUGGCUUGGUUCAAGCCAUUGAAACCAAGAACAUCACCUACUUGACCAAGUUCCCUAAAAUUGGCAAGAAAACAGCCCAGCAGAUGGUGCUGGACUUGGAAGGCAAGGUAGUAGUUGCAGGAGAUGACCUUCCUGCCAAGGUCGCAGUGCAAGCAAGUGCUGAAAACCAAGAAUUGGAAGAAGCUAUGGAAGCCAUGUUGGCUCUGGGCUAUAAGGCAACAGAGCUCAAGAAAAUCAAGAAAUUCUUUGAAGGAACGACAGAUACAGCUGAGAACUAUAUCAAGUCGGCCCUUAAAAUGUUGGUCAAAUAGGAGCAGAGAAUGACAAAACGUUGUUCGUGGGUCAAGAUGACCAACCCGCUCUACAUCGCCUAUCAUGAUGAGGAGUGGGGUCAGCCCCUCCAUGAUGACCAAGCGUUGUUUGAGUUGUUGUGUAUGGAAACCUAUCAGGCAGGCCUGUCUUGGGAAACGGUACUCAACAAACGCCAAGCUUUCCGAGAAGCCUUUCAUAGCUAUCAAAUUCACUCAGUCGCAGAGAUGACUGACACUGAAUUGGAAGCCAUGCUGGAGAAUCCAGCUAUCAUUCGAAAUAGAGCCAAGAUUUUUGCUACACGCGCUAACGCCCAAGCUUUUCUACAGUUACAGGCAGAGUACGGCUCUUUUGAUGCCUAUCUUUGGUCUUUUGUUGAGGGGAAAACUGUCGUUAACGAUGUUCCUGAUUAUCGCCAAGCCCCAGCUAAAACACCCUUAUCUGAGAAAUUAGCCAAAGAUCUCAAAAAACGAGGCUUCAAGUUCACAGGCCCAGUCGCCGUAUUGUCUUUUCUACAGGCUGCAGGGCUAGUUGAUGACCACGAGAAUGAUUGUGAGUGGAAAGGUCUUAAAUGAUGUCUAACAAAAAUAAGGAAAUUCUGAUUUUUGCGAUUCUCUAUACAGUCCUCUUUGUGUUUGAUGGCGUUAAAUUGCUGGCUUCUUUAAUGCCAUAUGUCAUUGCAAAUUAUCUUGUUUAUGUAGUUUUAGCUUUAUAUGGCUCCUUCUUGUUCAAGGAUAGAUUGAUCCAACAAUGGAAGGAGAUUAGAAAGACUAAAAGAAAAUUCUUCUUUGGCGUCUUAACAGGAUGGCUCUUUCUCAUUCUGAUGACUGUUGUCUUUGAAUUUGUAUCAGAGAUGUUGAAGCAGUUUGUGGGACUAGAUGGACAAGGUCUAAAUCAGUCUAAUAUUCAAAGUACCUUUCAAGAACAACCACUACUGAUAGCUGUUUUUGCUUGUGUCAUUGGACCUCUGGUAGAAGAAUUAUUUUUCCGUCAGGUCUUAUUGCAUUACUUGCAGGAACGGUUGCCAGGUUUACUAAGCAUUAUUCUGGUAGGACUUGUUUUUGCUUUGACUCAUAUGCACAGUUUGGCUCUAUCAGAGUGGAUUGGUGCAGUUGGUUACUUAGGUGGAGGCCUUGCCUUUUCUAUUAUUUAUGUGAAAGAAAAAGAGAAUAUCUACUAUCCCCUACUUGUUCACAUGUUAAGCAACAGCCUCUCCUUAAUCAUUUUAGCUAUCAGUAUAGUAAAAUGAAAUAAGAACAGGACAAAUCGAUCAGGACAGUCAAAUCGAUUUCUAACAAUGUUUUAGAAGUAGAGGUGUACUAUUCUAGUUUCAAUNNNNNNNNNGUAUUAGCUAGUUGGUGGGGUAACGGCUCACCAAGGCGACGAUACAUAGCCGACCUGAGAGGGUGAUCGGCCACACUGGGACUGAGACACGGCCCAGACUCCUACGGGAGGCAGCAGUAGGGAAUCUUCGGCAAUGGACGGAAGUCUGACCGAGCAACGCCGCGUGAGUGAAGAAGGUUUUCGGAUCGUAAAGCUCUGUUGUAAGAGAAGAACGAGUGUGAGAGUGGAAAGUUCACACUGUGACGGUAUCUUACCAGAAAGGGACGGCUAACUACGUGCCAGCAGCCGCGGUAAUACGUAGGUCCCGAGCGUUGUCCGGAUUUAUUGGGCGUAAAGCGAGCGCAGGCGGUUAGAUAAGUCUGAAGUUAAAGGCUGUGGCUUAACCAUAGUAGGCUUUGGAAACUGUUUAACUUGAGUGCAAGAGGGGAGAGUGGAAUUCCAUGUGUAGCGGUGAAAUGCGUAGAUAUAUGGAGGAACACCGGUGGCGAAAGCGGCUCUCUGGCUUGUAACUGACGCUGAGGCUCGAAAGCGUGGGGAGCAAACAGGAUUAGAUACCCUGGUAGUCCACGCUGUAAACGAUGAGUGCUAGGUGUUAGACCCUUUCCGGGGUUUAGUGCCGUAGCUAACGCAUUAAGCACUCCGCCUGGGGAGUACGACCGCAAGGUUGAAACUCAAAGGAAUUGACGGGGGCCCGCACAAGCGGUGGAGCAUGUGGUUUAAUUCGAAGCAACGCGAAGAACCUUACCAGGUCUUGACAUCCCUCUGACCGCUCUAGAGAUAGAGUUUUCCUUCGGGACAGAGGUGACAGGUGGUGCAUGGUUGUCGUCAGCUCGUGUCGUGAGAUGUUGGGUUAAGUCCCGCAACGAGCGCAACCCCUAUUGUUAGUUGCCAUCAUUUAGUUGGGCACUCUAGCGAGACUGCCGGUAAUAAACCGGAGGAAGGUGGGGAUGACGUCAAAUCAUCAUGCCCCUUAUGACCUGGGCUACACACGUGCUACAAUGGCUGGUACAACGAGUCGCAAGCCGGUGACGGCAAGCUAAUCUCUUAAAGCCAGUCUCAGUUCGGAUUGUAGGCUGCAACUCGCCUACAUGAAGUCGGAAUCGCUAGUAAUCGCGGAUCAGCACGCCGCGGUGAAUACGUUCCCGGGCCUUGUACACACCGCCCGUCACACCACGAGAGUUUGUAACACCCGAAGUCGGUGAGGUAACCGUAAGGAGCCAGCCGCCUAAGGUGGGAUAGAUGAUUGGGGUGAAGUCGUAACAAGGUAGCCGUAUCGGAAGGUGCGGCUGGAUCACCU
Molecule: ribosomal RNA, 3000 nt
Filed under: Streptococcus pneumoniae
Lineage: Bacteria; Bacillati; Bacillota; Bacilli; Lactobacillales; Streptococcaceae
Description: bacterial SSU rRNA
Rfam family: Bacterial small subunit ribosomal RNA (bases 1598-3000)
Source: RNAcentral